GAUUUUCAAUAUUUUUAUUAUAUAUAUAUAUCUUGAGUGGGAGUGAUUCUCGUAUAUUUAACCCCUUCACUAGAAGCUUCCAGAGAUUUGAUCUGGUAGGUAGCAGGUAGGUACCUAAUAGGAUAAGAAUUGGGGUAGAACGCUGUAUUUACCAUCCAAGAAGCCUGCGUGAUAAUGUUUAAACAUCCUGUAAAUAACACAGCUAUAUUUAGAUUUACUAGCAGUCAGUAGCUAAUGCAGAUAUUAAUUCAAGAAAAU
This is a non-coding RNA of Pelobates cultripes (western spadefoot toad), 258 nucleotides long. NCBI's taxonomy places the organism in Eukaryota, Metazoa, Chordata, Amphibia, Anura, Pelobatidae. The record is from the annotation of a GenBank genome assembly.